UGCUUGCAGGUGCUGAACCGAACCGUUCCUAUGUGUGUCGAUGGUGUCCAUGCGACCACGCACCAACACUUGACAUGGUAUUGGCUGGGUCCUGCAGGCCGAGCUGGUCCAUGAGCGCGUGCACCGGCCUCUUCUUCUCUAAGUGGUGAUUUGACUGUAGAGCAUGCAACAUCAAGUAGUAUGUGAACAAAUGAAGUGAUCGAAUAUAGAAAACAUGUAUGAACCACAAAUCAUCAAUAAUCAAAAUCUGAGGACCAACAUGUUCACAAGGUAAGGCAAAAAGGUUCUUCACCAAAAUUUUACUGCAGCUUAUUCCUUUUAUUUUCCUUUCCUUCACAGACCUGCACAAUUAUUAGAAGAACAUCACCUUUGAUAUAUAUCGACUGCAGAUCAACGCUGAAUCACUAAUGAAAGUGACUUUUGGGGGAGGGAUUGGGGAGAGGAGGGGAUAAAAAAAAGCAUGAGCAUGUACCUGUUCCCCUAAAGAGACGGUGGCAGCAAGGUCCAUCUGAGCGCAGUCCCACAUGAGGAGCUCGGCUCGGAGGCCACGGCUAUGGCAGCAUCGAAGCGCUCGAAUCUGUGGCGGAGGGUUUCCUCCUCCUCCUCCUCAUGGCCAGCCGCCGUGGCUGCUAUAAGUGCGCCGGCACCGGGUGGCGUCUUCGAGCUCUGGGAUAUGGCUACACGAGGUGCUGGGCGAGGAUGCGGUGGGCGAGCAGCCGGCGGACGGCCACGAGGUACAGGAGGCGGUGG
Molecule: long non-coding RNA, 750 nt
Filed under: Triticum aestivum (bread wheat)
Lineage: Eukaryota; Viridiplantae; Streptophyta; Magnoliopsida; Poales; Poaceae
Description: long non-coding RNA (TAES_LNC011796)
Source: RNAcentral